GGGGAAGCAGCCUGCGUGGCACAGCGUGCACUGAAACCUCUCCUGCGGUGCGGACGAACCCCUCCUCCACUCAUUACAAUUAAAAUCGGCGCAAAAAAGAAGAAGGUUGAAGGUUUUACGCCUCUUUGAGCCGCGCCUGGGAGAGAGCUGCACCCCCGUGGUGCCGGCAGCGCGCAGCAGGCGGAGGCUCAGCACCGCCUCACCGCUCCUCCCCUUGCGCAGGUGCAGCGCUGAGAUGCCACAAAUGCGUCGCAUCCAACGAGAACGACUGCAACAAGCAGGGCUCGCACAGCUGCCCUCAGUACGCGGACGCCUGCUCCACCAUCACUGCGCCCAACAGCAUCAUCAAGUCCUGCUCCUACAAGUCCUUUUGUGACCAGGCACGGCGCAGCUCCGGGGGAGCCACCCUGCACUGCUGCUUCGGCGACGACUGCAAUGGGCCGCGGGGCUCACGCAGCUCUGGGGCAGCCACGAUGCCACAGCUUCCCUGCCUGCUGGCUGCAGGGCUGGCAGGGACGCUGCUGCUGGGUGUGCCGUGAUGGGCACAGCACGGCCAGGGGGUGGCACGGCCAUGGGGGUGGCACAGCAUAGCAUCUCAGUGCAGUAGUGCAAGCCUUGCUCACCAGGAGCACGGCACGUAGAGACGCUCAAAUAAAGGCUGAAGCUGAAAGCCA
Molecule: long non-coding RNA, 674 nt
Organism: Tympanuchus pallidicinctus (lesser prairie-chicken)
Lineage: Eukaryota; Metazoa; Chordata; Aves; Galliformes; Phasianidae
Exons: 2
Source: RefSeq, a predicted model, not a curated record